AAAAUUGAGAGUUUGAUCCUGGCUCAGGAUGAACGCUGGCGGCGUGCCUAAUACAUGCAAGUCGAACGAGUUCUGGUUAAGAGUAGCGGUGCUUGCACCAAAGCAAUUAACAAUGGAACGAGUGGCGGACGGG
Molecule: non-coding RNA, 133 nt
Filed under: Amylolactobacillus amylophilus DSM 20533 = JCM 1125
Lineage: Bacteria; Bacillati; Bacillota; Bacilli; Lactobacillales; Lactobacillaceae
Description: Lactobacillus amylophilus DSM 20533 = JCM 1125 Bacterial small subunit ribosomal RNA
Rfam family: Bacterial small subunit ribosomal RNA
Source: Rfam by way of RNAcentral